CAUAUCAUGUUGAAAUACCUGUUCUCCUACGAUCACCGAAGUUAAGUAACGACGAGCCUGGUUAGUACCUAGAUGGGUGACUAAUUGGAAAUACCGGACACU
Molecule: non-coding RNA, 102 nt
Organism: Acanthosepion pharaonis
Lineage: Eukaryota; Metazoa; Mollusca; Cephalopoda; Sepiida; Sepiidae
Source: the annotation of a GenBank genome assembly